This 465-nucleotide ribosomal RNA is filed under the name uncultured Candidatus Epulonipiscium sp. RNAcentral describes it as "bacterial SSU rRNA". It matches the Rfam family "Bacterial small subunit ribosomal RNA", at positions 28 to 505 of the family's 1533-position model. Lineage: Bacteria; Bacillati; Bacillota; Clostridia; Lachnospirales; Lachnospiraceae. The record is from RNAcentral.
GAUGAACGCUGGCGGCGUGCUUAACACAUGCAAGUCGAACGGACAGAGAGGAGCUUGCUCCUCGAAGUUAGUGGCGGACGGGUGAGUAACGCGUGGGUAACCUGCCCUAUGCAGGGGGAUAACGUUUGGAAACGAACGCUAAUACCGCAUAAUCUAGUUGGUUCGCAUGAACUGACUAGCAAAGAUUUAUCGGCAUAGGAUGGACCCGCGUUGGAUUAGCUAGUUGGUGAGAUAAAAGCUCACCAAGGCGACGAUCCAUAGCCGGCCUGAGAGGGUGAACGGCCACACUGGGACUGAGACACGGCCCAGACUCCUACGGGAGGCAGCAGUGGGGAAUAUUGCACAAUGGGCGCAAGCCUGAUGCAGCGACGCCGCGUGAAGGAUGAAGGUUUUCGGAUCGUAAACUUCUAUCAGCAGGGAAGAAACCAAUGACGGUACCUGACUAAGAAGCCCCGGCUAACUACG